Molecule: long non-coding RNA, 1849 nt
Filed under: Numida meleagris (helmeted guineafowl)
Lineage: Eukaryota; Metazoa; Chordata; Aves; Galliformes; Numididae
Description: lncRNA (ENSNMEG00000002709.1)
Source: RNAcentral
AUGCCCCAACAGGCGGACACCCCCACACACUACAGGAUGCCCCAACAGGCGGACCCCCCUAGAACAGGCAGGCAUGCCAACAACAUGUGGGCACCCCCACGGGUGGAUGCCCUCCUGCACAGGCGGACCCAACAACAGGCGGACCUCCUAACAAGCGUACAGCCCAACAGGCGGACACUCCAACAGGCGGACACCUCCACACAGCGGAGGAUGCCCCCACACACCGGCAGAACCCCCAACAGCUGGACACCCCAACGACAGCCGGACCCCCCAGCAACAGGCAGACCGAUCCCCCCCACCAACAGGCGGCCGCGCACCGGUCUCGGCCGUCUUGACGGCGGUGUCGAUGAGACCCUCGCGGCCACCCAUGGCGUGGAAGAAGAACUCGGUGGGGGUGAGCCCUGCCAGGUAGGAGUUCUCAACGAAGCCGCGGCUCUCAGGGCCGUAGUCGUCCUUGAUGAAGUGGGAGAUGUUGAUUUUGGAGCCCUUAGCCCCCGAGACCACCAUGGACUUGAAGUUGUUGUACUCGGAGAGGGAUUUCUGCGCGGAGGAGCCGGUUUUGUCACGGGCGUCGUUGAGGAUGCGGUUCACCUGGUUCUCGAAGGUCUGCCGCAGCGUGUUGCCCGGCGUGGGCUCCAGCUCGUUGUUGUGGGCCUUCUCAAUCACCUGUGGGCACCCAGCGUAGGAUCAGGACCCGAAAUCCAAGGGAGGGGGGAGAGGUACCCAAAAACGGCACCAAAAUCCCAGAGAGAAAGCACAAAUCCCAUGGAGAGCCUUAAAAUCCCACACAGGGACACAGAACCCCAUAGAGAACCCCAAAAUCCCAUCGAGAGACACAAAAUCCUGUAGAGGACCCCAAAAUCCCAUAGAGAACCCCAACAUCCCAUAAAGAGAGCCCAAAAUCCCAUAGGAAAACAUAAAAUUCAACAAACGGCACCAAAAUCCCAUAGAGAGAGCCCCAAAAUCCCAUAGAGAAACCCCAAAUCCUCCCCAGACCCAAAAUUCCCCCCAGAACCCAACCCCCCUACUCCCCAAUUCCCCCCCUUGGGCCCCAACCCGUACCCCAACCCCAUGGAUCCCANUCCCAGUACUUCCAUGGCAGCGUUGUGACACUGUGGGUGGGGGCAGGAAGGGACACCUUCGCCGAUGUCACCUGCACUGUCACCUCAAUGCCACCGGGCCACCGUGUCCCCUUCGUGACACCGCAUCGCCUGCUGUUGUCACUGUGAAGCCACCAGGCCACGGGGCGCUGUCACCACGACGGUGGCAUCGUCACCACGAUGGCACCGGGCCACCUGGUGCUGUCACCUCGGUGCCACCGGGCACUGUCACCUCCGUGGUGGCACCGGGCCACCCGGUGUUGUCACCUGCUGCACUGCCAUGGGGCACACCUGGCACAGUGGGGGCAGUGGGGACAAUGGGGACACUGGGGACAAUGAGGCAAUUAGGGGACAAUGAGGGCACUGGGGACAAGAAGGGCAAUGGGGACAUUGGGGACAAUGGGAACAGUGGGGACAAUGGGGACAAUGGGAGCAACGGGGACACUGGGGACACUGGCGGCAGUGGGGGACAAUGGGGCCACUGGGAGCCAUGGGGACACUGGGGACAGUGGGGGACAAUGGGGACAAUGGGAGCAAUGGGGACACUGGGGACAUGGGGACAAUGGGGACAAUGGGGACAAUGGGGACAUGGGGGACAAUGAUGAUACUGGGGACAAUGGGGACAGCGAGGACACUGGGGACAUCGGGAGCAAUGGGGCCACUGGGGACAGUGGGGGACAAUGGGGCCACUGGGAGCAAUGGGGACACUGGGGACAGGGGGGGACAAUGAGGCCACUGGUGUCAAUGAA